UGGGCUUUGAUAUCGUCACAUGCUUGAGGGACGACACCGUCUGCUGGGGGCCAAGUCGUUUACACAAGUGCCAUUACCUUAUUGGGGGGCCUCACUGUUCUUAGUUGGAUGACACGGGACUCUCCAUUGCAAUCUACUUGCCUAGAGCAUCACCCCAUCUCCAGAAGCAGGAGGGAGAAUGGUUUUGAAUCUUAGCUCUAUCAUUUUCUGACUCUGUACCAAAUUACAUAUAGAUCUGUCAGAAUGAUGUAAGACCUGAAAUCUCUCUGUAAGUUGAUCCUCUUGACCCCAUGAUUAGGAGCUUCACAAUGUGGUACCACACCUGGAAAUCUCCAGAACAAGACCUCAAGGAAGCACAGGAAAUCCCUAGAGUGGCAAAACAUCCGAUUUGAAGACAUUCAAUUAUUUCUCUGUGCAUCAGGAGCAUCACUGUUAAUUAACUAUUGAUAUGCUUGAAAGAGUUUGUUUAGCAAUAGCCCUUGCAGAAAAAAAAAAAAGAGCCGUGUAUUAUUCAUGAUGAACUAGACAAUGCUGCCACAAUGAGUUAACUUCUACAUCUUAUUCCCUUGGCAAAAGUUUAGCUCUUAUUCCUGCAAAUUUUGAUGCAAGAUGGUUGGCUCUCCAGGCAGAUACUGACCUUGUGAAAUAGUCAUCUCAACGUGUUCCUCCAUAACAAAACUCCACAGCAGGGGAAGAUGGAAGUGGAGGGUCACACACCUGGUCUUAUAUACUUUGAUGCAAAGGUGAUACAUGUCAUUUUUACUUACAGUUUGUAGGCCAGAACAAAGCCUAAUAUACUUGCAAGGGGUCUGGAAAAUAUUCUGAAGCACAUGGCUGUUUGGUGAGCAGUAAAUGUUUCUCCCACACCAGGCUUUGGCAGACUUCAAAUUUGUUCCUAAUAGGCCUAAUUUACACCACUAACUGUAUAUCCCUUGAGUCUUCCUGGAAUUUUUUGUUAAUGUUUUUCUAGCACAGUGUCUGGCACAAAGUAUUCAAUAAACAUACUCAGUAGAACCCUUAGAUCCGUAAGUUUCACUUUAUCUUUGGACUUCAGAACCCAUGUAGCUGCUAUAUCAUAUCAGGAAAGUGUAACUGCAACUCUAACUGCAAUGAAAAUUAACAGAUAAAAUGCUCAGCCCAGCUUCAAUUUUGUUUUGUUUUAUUUUUGAUUUUUGUAGUUUUUGCUUUGUUUCUUUGCUCCAGAGCAGAAGUUCAUACCUGAUUGUCACUGGACUUAGAACAAUAGUUGUGUCCACACACAGUGAGAGUGGUUCAAAUUCUUUGGGGAAUUUGUCUUCAAGUAUCGGAAGCUGGGUUGGUACGCCAGUCUCUAUGUGUAAAUUAGGUUCAUUCCCUUUCAGAUGUUGUAUUUUAUUUUCAAUCAAUACUGUCCAUUCUGUAAUGGUUCACUGCAUAGACUUGAAGAUGACAUUUUGGGCUGUGUCUUGUAUUUGUCACUUAUUAGCACUUUGUGGCCAGGUUAAUUAACUUUUUGUGUCUAGGUUUUCUCAUUUCUAAAUAAAAAUCUUUAUUUCUAUAAUUUCAUGUUGACAAACUAGCAAGUCAAUCUAAGUCUAGUGUGUGUGUGUAUCAGUGAUAGAUAUUGUUAUCAUAAUGAUAAUUUUCAUUAUCCUCUAUCCUAAAGAUCUUAUUCUAUCUAAAAAGAAAUCCCUGUAAAAAUUUUUUUGAAAGUAUUUACUUAUAUAUAUUUGUUCAUUCCACUAUUUCCCCAAUUAACACUCUAAUAUCUUAAAGCAUCUUGUCCUAAGACAAGAUUCCAUAAAUGUUUGUUGAAUGAGUAAAUGAUAUACUAACGAUAAAUGUAACUCUAUUCUCAGCAUUUUGUACAUAAUGAUCAUACAUUUAGGUUACACACAUUUCACUUAACUUUUUUACUUGCUUCAAACUAUGAUUUUAAAAGACCUCUCAGCAUAUAAAACCUAGAAAUUGGGGUGAGUGACAAAAACUCUUCAGUAUGGC
This is a non-coding RNA of Kogia breviceps (pygmy sperm whale), 1980 nucleotides long. The record is from RefSeq and is a predicted model, not a curated record. NCBI's taxonomy places the organism in Eukaryota, Metazoa, Chordata, Mammalia, Artiodactyla, Physeteridae.